RNAcentral lists this ribosomal RNA (476 nucleotides) under uncultured bacterium. Its description in RNAcentral is "bacterial SSU rRNA". It matches the Rfam family "Bacterial small subunit ribosomal RNA", at positions 29 to 537 of the family's 1533-position model. The record is from RNAcentral.
AACGAACGCUGGCGGCAUGCCUAACACAUGCAAGUCGAACGAGACCUUCGGGUCUAGUGGCGCACGGGUGCGUAACACGUGGGAAUUUGCCUCGGGGUAUGGAAUAACUCAGGGAAACUUGAGCUAAUACCAUAUAAUGUCUUCGGACCAAAGAUUUAUCGCCCUGAGAUAAGCCCGCGUAGGAUUAGCUAGUUGGUGGGUAAAGGCUCACCAAGGCGACGAUCCUUAGCUGGUCUGAGAGGAUGAUCAGCCACACUGGGACUGAGACACGGCCCAGACUCCUACGGGAGGCAGCAGUGGGAAUAUUGGACAAUGGGCGCAAGCCUGAUCCAGCCAUGCCGCGUGCAGGAAGAAGCAUCUAUGGUGUGUAAACUGCUUUGUACGGGAAGAAACACUCCUACGUGUAGGAGCUUGACGGUACCGUAAGAAUAAGGAUCGGCUAACUCCGUGCCAGCAGCGCGGUAAAGUGACUACUG